GAUGAAGAACGUAGCGAAAUGCGAUAAGUAGUGUGAAUUGCAGAAUUCAGUGAAUCAUCGAAUCUUUGAACGCACAUUGCGCCCCUUGGUAUUCCAUGGGGCAUGCCUGUUCGAGCGUCAUUUGUACCUUCAAGCUUUGCUUGGUGUUGGGUGUUUGUCUCGCCUUUGCGUGUAGACUCGCCUUAAAAUAAUUGGCAGCCGGCGUAUUGAUUUCGGAGCGCAGUACAUCUCGCGCUUUGCACUCAUAACGACAGCGUCCAAAAGUACAUUUUACACUCUUGACCUCGGAUCAGGUAGGGAUACCCGCUGAACUUAGGCAUAUCAAUAAGCGGAGGA
This 336-nucleotide unclassified non-coding RNA is filed under the name soil metagenome. Its description in RNAcentral is "partial contains 5.8S ribosomal RNA, internal transcribed spacer 2, and large subunit ribosomal RNA". The stretch from base 1 to 120 matches the Rfam family "5.8S ribosomal RNA", at positions 35 to 154 of the family's 154-position model. The record is from RNAcentral.